RNAcentral lists this ribosomal RNA (331 nucleotides) under uncultured bacterium. Its description in RNAcentral is "bacterial SSU rRNA". It matches the Rfam family "Bacterial small subunit ribosomal RNA", at positions 29 to 334 of the family's 1533-position model. The record is from RNAcentral.
AAUGAACGCUGGCGGCGUGGAUUAGGCAUGCAAGUCGAACGAGAUUCUUAUGUAUCGUAAGAUAUGUAAGCGUCUAGUGGCAAAAGGGUGAGGAACACGUAGGUAAUUUGCCCUCGAAACUGGGAUAACAUUCCGAAAGGGAUGCUAAUACCGGAUAAGCUCACGAGUUCAUAGGAACUAGUGAGAAAAGGUGGGGACUCUUCGGAGCCUGCCAUUCGAGGAUAAGCCUGCGGCCUAUUAGUUUGUUGGUGAGGUAACGGCUCACCAAGGCUAUGAUGGGUAGCGGAGCUGAGAGGCUGACCCGCCACAUCGGGACUGAGACACUGCCCGA